AAAACUUGUGACAAUUAUUCCCGCGAAAAUGCAACUGCUGUCUGGCGAUGAGAAGCGAAAGAGAAAAAAGCCCUAGAUGGAUCCAUCCCGUGCAUUUCGUUCAGUAGUACCUCCUGCAGUGGUUGUUUGCAGAGUGGACAGCGUAGAUUAUGAUCCAGACUUCUCUCAAUGCAGUUCUUGCAGAAGGAAAUGCAAGUGUCUGGAAGCAGGACAUAAGGCCAGUGAAAAACAACACUCUACAAAUCUCCACUGACCUGAUGCAGAGAGGGCACUCAAAAUCCGUCACUGUCAGAACGCUGAGGCAGGACUCUCUGCCCACACUGCACACACCUACAGAAUCAAACAAAACAAACCUUCAGUGGAUGUCAUUCUGAUUUAUUGUCUAAACGAAGACAGUAUUGUUUGAGAACUGCUUAUGAAGUAAAAUGAAAUAACAUUUAUAUGAAUAAUAAUUAUUAUAUUUAAUAAUAAUAUAAAUGUAUAACCCAUUAUGUUUACCUGUUACUACUGAACUUACAAAACCCAACGUAAUCUCAAAUAUCAAAAUGAAUAUAUGUUUAAUAAGACAAUUUACUAAUGACAUAUUAUUAGAUUAUUGUAUACUUAUGCAAUAAGUCACAUGAGACCAUGUUAUACAGUUCAUGUAGCUUGGCUAAUGCGCUAAUGUGUUAUGAAUAUAAUUACAGCUAUUUUAACUUGCUGAAACCAACACAUACAUUAUUAUGUAUUCUUUACUUAAUGCGUUGUUUAAAAAUGUAUGAGGUUGAUGAUGAUUAAUAACUAUCAUCAAGUGACAAUUAAUUAAAAUUGUAUGAAGCAAAGCAGCUAAACUACAACCUUUCAGCAUUUUGCACAGGAACAAUCUAUUUAAGAAUUAUAUUUUGAAAUAAUUAUUGAAUUAUUUUUAAUACUAAAACAAUGUUUUAAUUAUCUCUAGAAGAUGCAUAUACAAAUGUGAAUGCAUUUCAUUUGUUUUCCUGAGCAGUUUGUAGGAGAUCUUUACCUCUG
This is a long non-coding RNA of Megalobrama amblycephala (Wuchang bream), 1008 nucleotides long. RefSeq lists it as uncharacterized. The transcript has 3 exons. Lineage: Eukaryota; Metazoa; Chordata; Actinopteri; Cypriniformes; Xenocyprididae. The record is from RefSeq and is a predicted model, not a curated record.